RNAcentral lists this ribosomal RNA (405 nucleotides) under uncultured bacterium. RNAcentral's name for it is "bacterial SSU rRNA". It matches the Rfam family "Bacterial small subunit ribosomal RNA", at positions 29 to 458 of the family's 1533-position model. The record is from RNAcentral.
AACGAACGCUGGCGGCAGGCCUAACACAUGCAAGUCGAACGCGCGUAGCAAUACGCGAGUGGCGCACGGGUGAGUAACACGUGGGAACCAACCCAGAGGUUCGGAAUAACCGCGGGAAACUGCGGCUAAUACCGGAUGUCCCCAUGGGGAAAGAUUUAUCGCCUCUGGACGGGGCCCGCGUCCGAUUAGCUAGUUGGUGAGGUAACGGCUCACCAAGGCUACGAUCGGUAGCUGGUCUGAGAGGAUGACCAGCCACACUGGAACUGAGAUACGGUCCAGACUCCUACGGGAGGCAGCAGGUGGGGAAGUAUUGGGCAAUGGAGGGCAACUCUGACCCAGCCAUGCCGCGUGGGUGACGAAGGUCUUCGGAUUGUAAAGCCCUUUCGGCGGGACGAUGAUGACGGU